RNAcentral lists this transfer RNA (69 nucleotides) under Loxodonta africana (African savanna elephant). It matches the Rfam family "tRNA". Rfam says of the family: Transfer RNA (tRNA) molecules are approximately 80 nucleotides in length. Lineage: Eukaryota; Metazoa; Chordata; Mammalia; Proboscidea; Elephantidae. The record is from Rfam by way of RNAcentral.
CUUGGUGGUGCAAACAGUUAAUGCAUUCAGCUGCUAACUGAAAGGCUGGUGGUUCGAUCCCAACCCAAG